RNAcentral lists this long non-coding RNA (832 nucleotides) under Physcomitrium patens. RNAcentral's name for it is "long non-coding RNA (PPAT_LNC014000)". Lineage: Eukaryota; Viridiplantae; Streptophyta; Bryopsida; Funariales; Funariaceae. The record is from RNAcentral.
UUAGGAUUUGGUUUAGGAUUUAGAAUUAGGGUUAGGAUUUGGUUAGGAUUUGGUUAGGAUUUGAUUUAAGAUUAGGGUUUGGUUUAGGAUUUAGGAUUUGAUCAGGGUUUGAUUUAGGGUUAAGAUUUGCUUAAGAUUUGGUUUAGGAUUUGAUUUAGGAUUUAAGAUUUGAUUUGGAAUUGGUUAGGAUUUGAUUUAGGAUUAGGAUUUGGUUAGGAUUUGGUUAGGAUUUGAUUUAUGAUUUAUGAUUUAAGAUUUGAUUUAAGAUUUAAGGUUUGGUUUAGGAUUUAAGGUUUGGUUAGGAUUUUAUAAGGAUUUGAUUUAGGAUUUAGGGUUUUAUUUGAGUUUGUUUAGGAUUUAAGAUUUAGUUAGUUUUUGGCCUAAAUUUUGAAUGAAGUCCAAUAAAAUUUCAACUAGAAUUAAAUUAAGAUUGAAUUGAGAUAUAUUUGAGAUAUGUUUGUAAUUAUUCUAAUAUUUCUUUAAGAUUUUUUAUUUUUUCUUUGGAAUUCCUUUGAAGUUUCUCUAAAUUUGAUUAAAGCUUGUUUAGCAUUUUUAGUUUUCUAUUAGAAUUAGGAUUUUGUUUUUACAAUUUCUAUUCUAUCUUUGACAGUCAAGUGCUCGGAGCAUUCUCAAGUAAGACUUCACGUAUUAUGACACCGACCUUGAUGAAUACGUUUCAAAAAACUUUGAAGUUGCUGCCAUUACAUGACUUAUUCUUCUCAAGCCAAGUCUUUGUGCUUAAUGCCUUUCAAAUAAUCAAUUGUUGCAUGUAAUGGCUUGAAUAAUAAAUUAUUUCAAAGAUUUUAUUUUCAGCAUUGUUAAUAACAAAUCU